RNAcentral lists this ribosomal RNA (314 nucleotides) under Ixodes ricinus (castor bean tick). Its description in RNAcentral is "partial large subunit ribosomal RNA". Lineage: Eukaryota; Metazoa; Arthropoda; Arachnida; Ixodida; Ixodidae. The record is from RNAcentral.
AAAAGCUUUCUUUAAUUGAAUAAUUGAAUUUAAUUUUUNAGUGCAAAAGCAAAAAUAAAAAUUAGGGACAAGAAGACCCUAUGAAUUUUUUAUUAAAUUUUAUAAAACUUUAUAUAAAAUUUAAUUUAAUUGGGGUGAUGGAAAAAGAAUAAAUAUCUUUUUUUUAAAAAAAAAUUGGUUCCGUUUUUAGCGAUUAAAUGAAAAAAAUACUCUAGGGAUAACAGCGUAAUAAUUUUGGAUAGUUCAUAUANAUAAAAUAGUUUGCGACCUCGAUGUUGGAUUAGGAUUCUUUUUUGGUGAANAAGUUAAAAAAA